CUCCUUCCGCUCCCUGUCAGCGAGGGCGCCGAAGCCGCGCGGACUCCCGCGACAGAGUGAAGGGGGCCUUGGACCGGCCACGUUUCCCAAUGCAGGCGUCCCCAGAGCCGGUGGCCGUGGCGGAAAGGGCCGCGGCGUGUAGCCCGAAUCCCUUCAGCCCCACGAGGGGGGAGGCCGGAGGAGAGCCCGCCUUGGAGGAGGCCCUGGAGCACUACCACCAGAGUUUGCGCGAUCGUGCUGGCAAGAGCCUCAAUCAACUGAAGCAUGCCUUGGAAGAAAGAGAUAUGGCAAUGGGAGAAAGCACAUUUGACCAGCUAUUUGAUAAUACAGGAUAUGAAGAGAGUGAGGAUAGAGCAUGGCAGGAGCUUCAGUACAGUCAUGCAGUUAAUCAGCUUAAAGCUUUAUUACGACAACAACAAGAAAAGGAAAGUGAAAUGUCCCCUUCAGGGAGGAGAAGAAUGUCGCCCACAAGAACAGCUCAAGCAGCAGAUCAACAUUUGCCUGCUCUUGGCGACCUUGUACCCAUCAUUAAUGAUCAGUCUCAAUAUAUUAACCACUUGGAGGCAGAAGUCAAAUUUUGCAAGGAGGAAAUGUCUGACCUCAAAUCUCGUAUUUGUGUGGUUGUGUUUGAAAAUGAGAAGCUUCAUGAUAAUCUGAAAAUGCUAACGAUGGAGCGCACGCUCAGAGAGCAAACCUUCCUGGAUACCACAGCAGCUUCUCAAAAUGCUCGUGACAUAAGUAGUGCUCAUGUUGGUGAAACUGGUAUAUCAUCUCAUAAAAACGAGCAAGCUGCAGUAGAUGUAUUCGAAAUGAAUAAAUGGCAACUUGAGCUGGACAAGCUAAAACGUCUGCAUCAAGAAAGAACGGAAGCACUUGAAGCUCAGGUUUUGUCUUUAAGAAAGCAGUUAGCAGAAUCACAGAAGAAUUGUGAAGAACUAACUGGAAGAUUAAGGCAUCAAGAUAUGCUUGUUGCAGCAAGUAGUUCCAAUCGGGUUGGUGGCCUUUGCUUAAAAUGUGCACAGCAUGAAGCUGUUCUUUCCCAGACUCAUUCAAAUGUCCACAUGCAAACCAUUGAACGACUAACAAAAGAGAAAGAUGAAUUAAUAGCAGCCCUUUCUUCACUCAGAAUAAAUCUAGGUGAAAUGCAGCGAAGAGAAUGUAGUGCUUAUGAACAAGUCAAACAAGCUAUACACAUGACUGAAGAAGCCAAUUUGGAAAGAACUAAGGCUCUUGUUCAGUGUGAACAACUUAAAAAUGAGAUGGAGAGACAAAGAAAUCGUCUUGAAAGGGAGUUAGCAAUCCAACUAGAUAAGAGGGCUCAAGAGCGAGAAACCGUUCGUGAAGAAAUGAAGAAAGAAAAAGAAAAUUUGUCGUCCAUGGUGUUGUCUUUAUCUCAGAAUGUGGCUGGUCUGGAAGUUCAGAUUGACAAGGUUACCAGGGAGAAGAUAUCCUUAGCAAGUCAACUGGAGGAUGCUCAGAAUCAAAAUGCUUCUCAUGAUAUUGAGAUUAAUAAGGUGUGUGGUGAAAUACGUUACCAAUUGAAUCAGACCAAAAUGAAGAAGGAAGAGGUAGAAAAAGAACACAGAGAAUUUAGAACCAAAACUAUGAGAGAACUUGAAAUUAAAGACCAGGAAAUAGUGAAAUUAAAAGCAGAGCUGAAUCAAAAUAAACAACGCCUGGAACAAACACAGCAGGAUAUUACAGGUGCAAAGGAUGAAUGUCUGAAAUUAACAGAAUUGCUGGGAAAAGCUGAGCACCAACUGCACCUUACCAGGUUAGAAAAAGAGAAUAUUCAGCACAGCUUUAACAAGGAAGCAAAGACCCGAGCCCUUCAGGCCCAGCAGAGAGAGCAGGAGCUGACACAGAAGAUGCAGCAAAUGGAGGCACAGCAUGAUAAAACUGUAAAUGAACUAGAUGUGUUGCUAAGGUCCCAGAAUGCACUUCUAUCAAAAUUAAAAGAUGAAUGUUGUACUUUGGCGAAGAAGCUUGAAAGUGUCACUGAAAAAAACAGAUCUGAAGUUGGCCAGCUUAGUCAGGAAAAUGAGUAUGUUCAUGGCAGGCUUGAAAAGAUGCAGAAAAGGAAUGAGGAAUUGGAGAUCCAGUGUAUCCAACAUGGAAAAAUGCAUGAGAAAAUGAAGCUAAGAUUGCAGCAGCUUGACAAGCAUUGCCAGACCACUGCCCAACAGUUGGUGGAGCUGCUCAACAAGCAGAACGACCUCUAUAAGGAAAGGCAGGCACUUAAAGAAGAGGUGGACUUCCUGCGGACUCAGUUACCCCAUGAAUCUCAGUUAGUACACUGAACUGAUGAAGCUUAACUUCGAAAUGGCCUUCAUUCAUUGAAAAUGCUGGCAGAUGAAAUAACUGAUGUCAUAGCCCUCUAAAACUGAAAGCAAUCAUGACAAAGACAUCAAAGAAUCCCUUCUGCAAGAAUGACUGAGGUUUUUUUUUUUAAUGGCCAUUGUGUAUCCUAUAUCAAGGUCAAAAUAAGAUAUUUGUGCUGGCCGUCAAACAAUACAGUACAAAGAAAUGUAAAAAUAUUAUCUAUUUCUCAUCACACUUUGGGCAGCAGGACAUUUAGAAAAGCUUCCGUGAAACCUGGGUGUGAAUGGGGGAAAUAAGUUUAAACCACCUAUUGUGAGAUUAGAGUUCACAGCCAGUAGUAUUAAGGUUAAGUCACUUCUGCUGCUGUUUCUUUUUUGAACUUUCAGGUUUUUUAUUUGAGGCUAUUGCACUGCUGAGCGUUGUCAAAAGGACCAAAUUACAAAGAUCCAACAGCACACCAUUCAGUAUGAUACUUUGAUUUCCAUCCAAAUGAUUUCAUGAUAACAAAUACCAUAGAAAAUACCUUACUGUGCUUUAUAAGCCCGCAAUAAAUUGAACCUGCAGUAAAUAUGUGAAUGUAGUCUAAGCUGUAAAUGUUAUGUAUUAUGUAAAUAAUAAAUAAAAUACUAUAAUGUCUUUAUUAAAAUGUACAGUGCUCAGAUCAUACAAUUACUGGACAGGAAUAGCAAAGGCCCAAAAAUGAUUUACAAAUUUUCUUUUGAUGCCCCACUCAGAUUAUAUAUUGGGGAGGCUCUUGUAUGUGGGACUUCCCUCUCUAAAGAGUGAAACUGUUAUCCCACUGCUUAAUCUGUUUUAUUGUGUGUGAAGUGAAUUAAAAUAUUUUUGUAAAAAUGUUGAUCUUGGAUUAAAAAAACCCCUAUUGUUAACAAAUUGACACUUUAAUUUCACAAGCCAUUGGAAUGACACCACAUAUCUUCAUAUAUUUUUAAAUACUGGUUUUAUCAAUUUAAUUUUGCAACUUUGACCUUUUUGAAGAUGGUCCUAUAUCUGAAAUAAAAUUUGUAUUUCAGAAGUAUAUCAUUUUCCUGUCAAUAAUUUCAGUUGGCACACCACAUAUUGAUUUGUUUUUCUGUUAUUCACAUUGUUUAAUACUUUCUCAUUCCUCUUUUACGUUCCCACCCAGCAGCUUCUUGCUCAUCUAGAAUCUUUCAUCUCUUAACUUCCUCCAUCCUUGUGCCUCAUUAAUGCCUUACUAAAAGUAAACAUGUAAUACUCUGGCAAUAUCCUUUUUUCGCUUUCAAAAACACACCUACUUCCUUAAACCAUCUCCGUCUCAAACUUCCAAUUUCACCUUCCAAUUUAGCAAACGUGUCUUACAAACCUUAAACUCCUGCCUCUUGUUUUGUACUCUGAUUUUUCUUAAUUCUAUUUCCUUGUUUUUUAAAUACUACAAGUCUUCUGAUAGUGAAUAGCUUCCACAUAACUAGCACUUCAUAAAUAUUUUAAUAUGGAGUCUUUAACCCUAUCUGAAAAGAGAAAUCAUCAUAUAGGAUAGCAGCAAAUAGUAAUUUUUCAAGAAAGACAUUUAGAUUGACAAUGCACAUGGCAUCAUUUAUCCAUUAUCAUAUGUAUGAUGUGAGGAUGAACACACAUUGUCAAAAUAAAAUCAAGAAUUGUUUUUA
RNA transcript from Anolis sagrei ordinatus, 3965 nucleotides. It is a transcript of the gene named SHH signaling and ciliogenesis regulator SDCCAG8, with no coding region annotated. NCBI's taxonomy places the organism in Eukaryota, Metazoa, Chordata, Lepidosauria, Squamata, Anolidae. The record is from RefSeq and is a predicted model, not a curated record.